GGAAUAGCUCAGUUGGUAGAGCACGACCUUGCCAAGGUCGGGGUCGCGAGUUCGAGUCUCGUUUCC
RNAcentral lists this transfer RNA (66 nucleotides) under Klebsiella aerogenes. RNAcentral's name for it is "tRNA-Gly". It matches the Rfam family "tRNA". From Rfam's summary of the family: Transfer RNA (tRNA) molecules are approximately 80 nucleotides in length. Their secondary structure includes four short double-helical elements and three loops (D, anti-codon, and T loops). The record is from RNAcentral. RNAcentral also lists the same sequence under 41 other names. Lineage: Bacteria; Pseudomonadati; Pseudomonadota; Gammaproteobacteria; Enterobacterales; Enterobacteriaceae.